UAGAGCUGACUGGUGAGUACACAGUGGGCAACUGCUGUAGAGCUGAUAACAGCGGAAAUCGUGCUAAUACCGGACAGGCAAUGUCGCAUGACGUUUCGUCUGAAGACGCGCACGUGUCGCUACAGGAUGGGCCCCGCGCAUUAGCUAGUAUGAGCGUAACGCUCACCAGGAAUGCGUAGCGACCUGAGAGGUGAUCGGCCACACAGGACUGAGAAAGAGCCCGGAAUCCUACAGGGAGGCAGCAGUAGGAAACUUCCGCAAUGACGAAAGCUUGAGGGAGCACACGCCGCGUGACGCAAGAAGGCCCCUCGGGUCGCUAAGCUACUGCUGUUAGGAAGACCAGUAAGUAGUACUGGCGUACUGUGAAGGCCCUACAACAGAAAGCCCCCGCUUAUAAAUGCCGCAGCCCCGCAUAUAAUAGAUGGCACGUCUGUCCGCAUAAUAGGGUUAAGCCAGAGGGGUCCUCAAGAUCUAGAGUAGACGCAACGCUACCCCGGAGUCCUCGAAUGGGGGCUAGGUCAGAAAAAGCAGAUCCCCGUCGGGAACCUAGAGAUGCGAGCCCCUCGAGAGCGCCUCGUUUCACUAUGGCGAAGGGGAGAA
This 600-nucleotide ribosomal RNA is filed under the name Bacillus sp. R30. RNAcentral describes it as "partial 16S ribosomal RNA". The stretch from base 1 to 429 matches the Rfam family "Bacterial small subunit ribosomal RNA", at positions 94 to 538 of the family's 1533-position model. Lineage: Bacteria; Bacillati; Bacillota; Bacilli; Caryophanales; Bacillaceae. The record is from RNAcentral.